UAGGGAAGUCUUUCCACAAUGGGCGAAAGCCUGAUGGAGCAACGCCGCGUGUGUGAUGAAGGGUUUCGGCUCGUAAACACUGUUGUAAGAGAAGAAUGACAUUGAGAGUAACUGUUCAAUGUGUGACGGUAUCUUACCAGAAAGGAACGGCUAAAUACGUGUCAG
This 165-nucleotide ribosomal RNA is filed under the name uncultured bacterium. Its description in RNAcentral is "partial 16S rRNA". It matches the Rfam family "Bacterial small subunit ribosomal RNA", at positions 355 to 511 of the family's 1533-position model. The record is from RNAcentral.